CCAGCUCAUUUUACAAGUGAGGAAACUGAGACCAAGAGGGUUAUAUGACUUGCCCAGGGCCACAUAACUAGUGUUUGACCUCUGAUCUUCCUGGAAUUAUGUGUCAUCAGUUGAACCUGAACCUGAACAAUCUCUCCCUAUCAUUCUGACUGUAUUGAAAUCAUGGAAACAGACUCAAGGUCCCAGAAGGAGCCCUCAGAAUCAUUUCAUCUGCUCCCCACAUCCAUUUUACAGAUUGGGAAAUUGAGACAUAGAGAGAAGAAAUGACUUGCCAAGUGCCACCCAGCAACGACAAAACAAAGAGACACGUUGGACAAAUUAGUGGUCACCUUGGAAGGAGUCUGUGUGGUGCACCAAGAACAGAAAUGCCUUCCUGGGGAGGCUUCGGACAGUCAACCAUCAUGGAAAAAUGCACCAUUUUGAGAGGCUCAGCAUCAUGGAGAGAGAUGCUUUGAAGGAACCGUCUUAACCAUGAUCCUCCUGUCCAUAAAACUGGUCUGUUCUGUUCUGUUCUGAGAUGAUCGGUGAAGGGAGAUUUCUUGGGAGAACAGAGGAAAAUAUUCCAAGAAGUUUGUUACUAACAUUUGGGAGAGAACUUAUUGC
Monodelphis domestica (gray short-tailed opossum) is the source of this 603-nucleotide long non-coding RNA. RefSeq lists it as uncharacterized. NCBI's taxonomy places the organism in Eukaryota, Metazoa, Chordata, Mammalia, Didelphimorphia, Didelphidae. The record is from RefSeq and is a predicted model, not a curated record.